UCCCUCAGGUCAACAGCAGACAGGGUCCUUCCACAACCACAUACUUAUGCCAGUAAAAGCUACAGCUUUUCUCCUCCGAUCCAAGAAGCCUGGACUGCAGUCACCAUCUCAACACACCAACCAAGAGAAAGGCGGAUGGCUCAAUUCAAUAUGGAAAAUUGCACAAUAAAAGUUCCAGGACAUGAAGGCUGCAUACUGUGAACGUCAACCUUCAGGGUAUCGUCCUGCGCAGAAGACUUUCUACCCUAAGAGGGAUGGCUGACCGCAGACACUCACAACCAGCACAGACGCCUCCAACCUCAGACUAGGCCCUUCACAGUUGCUGCACUUACCCACCUUCCCAGAGUUUUUGUGUGGUAAUGACAACUGUAAAUAUAGUAUAAA
Engraulis encrasicolus (European anchovy) is the source of this 384-nucleotide long non-coding RNA. RefSeq lists it as uncharacterized. The transcript is spliced from 3 exons. Lineage: Eukaryota; Metazoa; Chordata; Actinopteri; Clupeiformes; Engraulidae. The record is from RefSeq and is a predicted model, not a curated record.